RNAcentral lists this non-coding RNA (55 nucleotides) under Heterosigma akashiwo. Lineage: Eukaryota; Raphidophyceae; Chattonellales; Chattonellaceae. The record is from RNAcentral.
AUAUUGUAUUAUAUCAUUUUACUCAAUUUUUUUUUUUUUUUUAGUUUUCAUUUAU